UUGCUGAAAUCAGUGACAAACCUCCCUUUGGCUUCAAGAUGGUCAGAAUUGUCUUCCCUGGUCUUCAGACUGCAUGUCGGCCCUUCAGAUCCAACCUCAGGGAGAAGCAAUGCUGAUCCUAGUUUGUCCUUCACUGACCUUUCCUGAACUGGGUGUUUCAUGAUUUCCAGUAUUUAGUCUGUACAAUUUAUAUCCCACCAGGGAAGAGUGCUAGGUUAGGAGGAAGGAGUACAAAGGGAAAGGCAAAUGUCAAGGCAGCUUCAAGUCCCUGAACUUGCACAACCCACAUCAGGGAGCAUCAGGAAGCUGAGUUACUACACAGAAGCUCUGGGGUUCAGACCUUUUACAUCCUUCCUGGACACACUAACCAAGCCAAGGCCAGUCUGCUCCAGAGAAACUCUCCCCCAGAUUGGCAGGCAGCUUGCAAGAAAUCUCUUCUUUGCAUCACACAGCAAGAUAUUUCCUGAAGAGGAAGUACCACAUGAGGCAGUGCAGGGAGCUCACAGCCAGCCCCCACCAACAUAUGCAAUUGAGCCUCAACCCUUGCAGUCACUGACCACUAUUUCUGCUGUUAUUUCCAGGAAAAAUUUACAAAAAUCUGUUGUAAGACCAGAGGAGAAAUCUGUCUGGGGAGAAGAAGAGGACUGGGAUCCCUUGGGAUAAGCAUAAGGACAAGACAGCUACAGCUCUCCGCUUAACUCUAAUCUGCUUUCAAGGUAAAGCACAGAAGGGAUUUAUAUUGCCACGUGCCAGGCCUGGGAUGCAGAAGAUUCUUUAUACACGUGUGAGUUGGAAACUGUUUCUCAGGAUCCUGGAAAGAAAGAUCCUUCCGUACCAGAAGAAAUGGAGGUUAAUACAGCCAUUCCCAGUGUUCUUCAAAAACGGUCUUCUUUUUUUAACAAGAUACCGAAUGCUCUGUCCAGAGUACGCGCUCUCCUCUCAAGUUGUCUACCGUGCCACAGGAAAUGUCAGAAAGUCACGCCAGAGAUUAUACCUCCAUGUUAAAUUGUUUUAAGAAAAUAUAAAAAAUAUAAAUAGAGUUAGGAAAAAUGUGGUCUGGUGUAAGUCUGUCAAUCGUACUUGGCGAUUGUUUGCAACUUCAUUCUCAGGUAGUUAAAAACUCUACAAAGAGGGCAGACAGAGAAGGCAGACAGGAAACCUGCUCCACAGGGACGAGGAAGGCUCCUUUUAGGAUGUGUUAUUCAGGAGUUAAAGUGCGCUCCCAAGCAGUUGGCUGUGCCACCGGAGGUCAGAUGGAGAGAGAUCAGGAGCCAGCCCAACCAGCAAGUAGUGCCACAAGGGCCAGAUAGCUCCUUGAGAUAACUUGGAGGUGCCAGCAGAUAAUGCCAUUUGGAGUUAAAGCCAGCAGAUAAUGCCAUUUGGAGAUAGCAGCAAUCUCCACCUGGACUCAUGGAGUAACCAGAAGACCCCUGGAAUGGCAGGUGCUGACACAUCAUUCUCAGCGCCAGAAGAGGGAACAAUUUUGUGAAUCUUCAACUACAGCGACUGGGGUUUAACCCAAGUUCUCUACGCAGAAGAGCAGCAUGGCACAGCUGCCUGAGGGGAAUAAACACCCAGGAGUGAGGACCAGUCUGUGCUGAUCUGGCAGCAGGGAGAGGUGAAGGUAUGUGUAGGGAAGGGCUGUGUGUGUACAGAGGGGCUGUUUGUGGGGUGGGAGGGGCUGCGUGUGUUUGUAGGAAAGGACUGGGCCUGUGUGUGUGUGUGUGUGUGUGUGUGUGUGUGUGUGUGUGUUGGAAGGGCUGCAUCUGUGUGUAUGGAGGGGUGCAUGUGUGUGUGGGUGUGUUCGUAGGGUGAGUCCCACAUGCACACCCCACCAUACCCAUGU
This is a long non-coding RNA of Alligator mississippiensis (American alligator), 1846 nucleotides long. RefSeq lists it as uncharacterized. The transcript is spliced from 5 exons. Lineage: Eukaryota; Metazoa; Chordata; Crocodylia; Alligatoridae. The record is from RefSeq and is a predicted model, not a curated record.